UAUAGAUUCAUAGAUAGAUAGAUAUAUAUAGACAUUAAUAGAAUAGAUAGAAAUGGAGGCUCCACAGAAGAGAUGCCGUAAAUCUGUGGUGUGGGAGCAUUUCCAUUUGGAAACCCCAAAUAAAGUGAGAUGUAUGUAUUGUGAUAGGCAGCUAGCCUACUUCAACAAUACAUCAUCCAUGAUGCGCCAUUUGAGGAGCACUCAUCCUGCCAUUUUGCAGUGUGCAGAGGAUGGUAACAUUCCCCCUGUACCUAGGCCUGCUACUGACACUGCUGGGCCAUCUAAACAAGGCAGACAGAGGGAAUUGGAUGAGGCUCUUGUAGACAUGGUGGUAAAGGAUUUGCAGCCCUUCACUAUCGUGGAGGAUGAGGGUUUCAUGGCUUUUGUGAACAAACUUGAUCCAAGCUAUGUCCUCCCAUCCCGGAAGGCACUUAAAACGAUGGUAACCGAAAGGUACAACAUUUCUAAGGAGAAGACAAUGGAGGACCUAAAAAAGGCAGAUUUUGUUAGCCUUACAGCUGACAUGUGGUCCUCCAUUAAUAUGGACGGAUACCUUGGUGUUACUUGCCACUACAUAACACCAGAGGCAAAGCUGGCAACUGUUGUACUGGGUGUAAGGAGGUUUUACCAAACACACACAGCCCAGCAUCUCAUGGAGGCUAAAGCUUUGCUAAUGGCCGAGUGGGGAAUAACCACCAAAGUUCAGUGUAUGGUGACUGAUGAUGCAUCCAACAUGAUCUUAAGUGCCCAGCUACUGAACCUUCGGCAUGUCCCAUGUUUUGCCCACAAUUUAAAUUUAAUUGUAAAAAAGGCCCUAGAUCAAACCCCACUCAUCAAUGAAAUACGACAGAAAGCCAGAAAGAUAGUGGGGUUAUUUAGAUCCAGCUGCAAAGCAGGAGGUGGACACAAGAUGGAACAGCACUUACGACAUGUUGCAGCGCUUGUAUGAGCAACGAGAGCCAGUGGGUGCAGCGCUAUCAAAUUUAAACAGUGAUACUGCUCCGCUGAAGUUUUGAGUAUAACAUUAUACAAGAAUCAUUGUCACUACUGCAGCCUUUCAAACUCGCAACGACAGAGUUGUCAGAGGAACAGAGAGUGUCUGCUUCAAAGCUCAUACCACUUUACAGGAUGUUGCAGCACAAGCUAUCGCAGAAAAAAGGCCAAUCAGCACAGGAAUCAACUGCACAAUUAGGUCUGCACUCAAGAUGUGGUGGGUACGAGUCAUUCAGAGCCUUGGCUCUGGCUACACUGCUGGACCCAAGGUUCAAAAAUGUGGGUUUUGGAAAUCCUGGCAAAGCCCAGGAGGCUGAAAAGCAGAUCACACUGGAGUGUGCUUCGCUGAUGCGUUCAAACACAGCAACUCCUGGUAAGCAGUUUCACUCUUCAUCUGACAUUAUGGAGUUAUGUCAUCUGAAUAAUUAUGUGACUUAUACUUCAUAUAUGCUGUCAGUUUAGACUUAGUAACUAAUUGUUGUUUUUACUUUCAUUCAGAGCCACAGUCAACAUCAGGCCCAUCAUCAUCAUCAUCAACAACAACAUCAACAACAGAAACCCAGGACAGUUUAUGGGAACUUUUUGAUAGUCGUAUC
Molecule: RNA transcript, 1589 nt
Organism: Carassius auratus (goldfish)
Lineage: Eukaryota; Metazoa; Chordata; Actinopteri; Cypriniformes; Cyprinidae
Gene name: zinc finger BED domain-containing protein DAYSLEEPER-like
Exons: 3
Source: RefSeq, a predicted model, not a curated record